Drosophila simulans is the source of this 819-nucleotide long non-coding RNA. RefSeq lists it as uncharacterized. NCBI's taxonomy places the organism in Eukaryota, Metazoa, Arthropoda, Insecta, Diptera, Drosophilidae. The record is from RefSeq and is a predicted model, not a curated record. The transcript is spliced from 2 exons.
UCCCACCGCCCCCAAUCCCAUCCGAUUCCAAUUGGAACGGUGUGCAUGCGCCGAGCUUAUGAUCGAGACAAUUAUAUACACACACAGCAGUUGAGCCGUUUGCCUGAACACUAAGUGUGUACUGCAUAUAUGCAAUUUGAAUCGGGCUCUCGUCAUGACAAUAGAAAAAUGUGUAUCCGAGCAUAUAUCUCGCUAAAAGAUGAAAUGAACUAAAUCGGUGGUGCACUUGGCAAAAUGCACAUGCAUUUGGCUGAUUAUCGCAUCGUCAUAAAGAUGCCAGCAGCUCGACUGGCAUAUUUUUGUCGAUCAAACUGCGCGCACGGAAAACGGAAAACUCAAACAAAUGGAAAUGAAAAUGGAUCUGAAGCUAAAGCUGGACUUGCAGAGACAAUUGCCGGGGCAAUUUGCAAUUUGACCGCAAAGCAAAAACGUGAAAAGCCACAGAAACUAACAAAGUGAAAUCUCCUGCAGCAGAGACACAAAGCGUACGAAAAUUGGGUUUGAUGAGGCAGUCCAAGUCGAAAUGUCAGCGAAAGUUUGACAAUCAAAUUUGAUGGGGGGCCAUUGACUUGGACAGCACAAAUAAAUUCUGAUAAUUGCCAUUGGCAAUGGUACGAUGCCUCUUCGAUGGGUUGCAGGAAUACAAUAAACAUUUAGCCACUCAACUUGACCUCAAAAUGCCAGACCAUAUUUUAGCACAUUGAAGAAUGCACAUCUAACCGAAAAUAGCGGCAAAAUGUUUUGCAUUCGAAUUGCAUUUGCGUUGCACAACCGCGUUUGCCGUGCAGGCAUUUUAUAAAUAAACACGUACGUAUAGAA